Molecule: ribosomal RNA, 318 nt
Filed under: Brevibacterium sp. K41
Lineage: Bacteria; Bacillati; Actinomycetota; Actinomycetes; Micrococcales; Brevibacteriaceae
Description: bacterial SSU rRNA
Rfam family: Bacterial small subunit ribosomal RNA
Source: RNAcentral
GCGGGACUCUGGGCUGUAACUGACACUGAGGAGCGAAAGCAUGGGGAGCGAACAGGAUUAGAUACCCUGGUAGUCCAUGCCGUAAACGUUGGGCACUAGGUGUGGGGGACAUUCCACGUUCUCCGCGCCGUAGCUAACGCAUUAAGUGCCCCGCCUGGGGAGUACGGUCGCAAGGCUAAAACUCAAAGGAAUUGACGGGGGCCCGCACAAGCGGCGGAGCAUGCGGAUUAAUUGGAUGCAACGCGAAGAACCUUACCAAAAAAGGACAUACACCAGACCGUCCUGGAAACAGGAGGUCCCGGGUUAAGUCCCGCAACG